UCCCGCAAACCCGUCUUCCCAGGAGGACGGCCUGAGUAGCUGGAGGCGGCAUGAACUCUGAUCCCUUGGGUCACACACUAUGGACAAUGAGAGGCGGAGCUGGAGCUAGUCUGUAAGAAUAUUCUCCACAAGGCAGCACAGUCUUGGAUCUUUCAGAGUCCAGGGAUCCACUCAGAGAAUGAAGAGCUCACAUUAAAAGAUGAAAUAAGCUUGACUCUCACAGAACAUGAGUUUCAGUGCCCUCUUUGCCAUGGAUUGAGGGUCAUGGUCACAGGAAAGCAAUGGUCAGCUUUGGAAGCAAUAUUUCAGCAUUCCAUGGAGAGCAUAUUAGACGUAACUCCGGGGAUGUUAAAUGCCCACGUGUCCAAAAAAAAAA
Equus quagga is the source of this 376-nucleotide long non-coding RNA. RefSeq lists it as uncharacterized. The record is from RefSeq and is a predicted model, not a curated record. The transcript has 3 exons. Lineage: Eukaryota; Metazoa; Chordata; Mammalia; Perissodactyla; Equidae.